UAAUUUUCAAAUUAAUUAAUUUUAUGCAAAAAUUUAAAGAUAUUUUCUUUUCUUUUAUAAAAAUAUUGCUAAAUUAAAAAUUAAUUAAAAAAAAAAUUUUAAUUGAAAUGAAAAAAAAUGUUUUAUUUUUCAAAUUUAUUAGAAAACCAAAUUUCAAAAAAAUACUUUUUUAAUAAAAAAUAAUCUACAAAUGUCUCCAAAUUUUGCGCAUAUCCUUGGCCUCCAAACAUUUUCACUUCAAAAAGUUUCAACAAACUGAAAGUUUUGCUAACCAAAAUACCAGGCUAAUAUCAUCUAAAAACAUAUCUUGACAAUAAUUUUAAGGUUAAAGACAAACAAAAACAAAAAUAUGAUAAAUUUAAAAUAACGGUUGAAUUUGUGUGCAUGAUUGUUGGAUGUGCUGAGAAUGUGUGCGUUUGUCGUGAUUACAAGUACAUACAUGCUUACAUACAUAGCAUAGUACUUACAUACAUAGAAACAAGAGAAAAUUCAUAAAUAAAUAGGGCGUAUGUAGGCGUGUAACGGUGGAUUGUCGCAGUUGCGCAAAGUGACGGCAAACUUUUUUGUAUUUUGUAAAGUUUAACAAGAACAAAAAAAAUUAAUAAAAGCAAAAAAAUAUUAUUCCUUAAACAUUUACUUAAAAAUUUAACUGUAAUAUAUGUAUGUAUUGACUUUUUCAAACUUUUUCUAAACAUUUUUUUCUGAAUUUUCGGUCUAUUGGUUUUUAUUACUUACGAAUAAUGCAUUUUUUGUGUAUGAAUAUGAAAAUUAAUAUAUAAUGUUAUACAUACAACUACAUAUAUACAUACAUACAUACACAUGCGUAACGCUGUUUUUGAAAUUUAAUGAUGUAAACUUUUUUAUAAAAAUAUUUAUGUAUUAUACAAUGUAUUAUUGAAAAGACAAUAUUUUGUUUUUAGCCUUUAAGCUGACAAUAAUGUUGACACAGGACAAUAAUAACGGAGAAUAGUUGCAAUGCAAAUAAAAAGCAAAAGCAAAAUCGCAAAUUUAUUGCUAAAGCCGAAUUGUAAAGAGAAAUUGUUCAAUUAAAAUAUAGUUAUAUAAAGUAAAUAAUGUUAAUGUGAGACAAUAAUAAGCAAACGCUAUUUGUAAAGUGCAAAUGUAAUAUUUGAAAUUUACGCUAAUCAAUGUACUUCAAAUUUAUAUAUACAUACAUACAUAUGUAAGUACAUAUCUGAAACGUACAGACAAACAUACAUGAAUUAAAGAAAGAAUCUCAAAAAAAACAUACAUAUGUAUGUGUGCGCGUACAUAGGUUUCUAAAACUUAUGCUGUGCUGCUUGCAUGAAUUCAUGUCAAUUUUUUUUAAUUUUUUUGAUCAAAAAUAGAUUGCUGCACAACACACAUACAUAUGCCACGCAUUAAUUGCUGGUGGCAAGCUGAAAUUUUUCAACGUUUACCCAGGUGCAUAAAAUAAAAAAUACCUUCAUACAUACAAACAUAUCUAUAUCAAUCCGUAUGUAUGUGCUGUUUAAAAUUUACAAUAUAUUAAUAUUAAAAAUAUUAUUAUUGUAAUAUUUUAAUAAUAUUUUCUGUUUGAAAAAUGUAUCUGUUUACAGUUUUGCAAAAACACUAUAUAUAUUAAACUAAUUAGCAUAAUUUUUACUAUAAAUUUUGUGUUCUUAAAAUUUUGAAUAACGUUUUUUAUUCUAAUAAAAUACUAAAUCUUAAACCUUUUGAGUUAUACUUUGUUUUAUGCUUUAUGUGAGUCACGUGAGUCAAAAAAAAAUUCUAAAUUUUUUUUUUCAAAUCAAUAAAUUUUUAUUUUUAUUUUUUAAAUAUUAAUAACUUAUUUUCUUUUUACGGUUUUAGUGUUAUUUUUCUUUUUUUACUAAUGGACCAGUGUAGAUGGUUUUUGUAAGCAAAAAAAUUAUAGUAGGGUGAAAUUAAUUAACCCUUAAAAUUUCAUCCUCGUCCCUCCCCUUUCUCUUCCGCACGUCAGAUCGCCCGUAAAUUACUUUUAUGCUCCUGCAACAUGUCAAAAAACCGCUAUUGAAAAAAGUAUCUAUUUUUGGUUCACCCGUUAUACUUGUCUAGUUUUCCAUAAUCAGAGCACAAAACGGGCCUAAAGGACUAAUAUUUUCGGUAAGGAUUAAUUUUUUUAAACACCGCCAUUUUGUCAAUUCUUGAUAUAAUUUUCGUCAGUAAGUUUAUAUCUCCUGGCAGAAAAUUUUUAUACCUUGCAAUAUGUUGCUGCAGAGUAUAAUAGUUUUGUUCACUUAACCGUUAUAUAAGUCAUAUAUAAAUCAUCAGGAUAGGAUGACGAGACGAGUUGAAAUCCGGCUCACUGUCUGUCUGUACGUCUGUCCGUCCGUCCGUGCGAGAUUUAAAGUUACAACAACUAAAUUCGUCUAGCGCAAAUGUUAAGUAUAAGAACUCUUACUGACAAUGUGAAAAUGGAUAAAAUCGGAUGGUCACCACCUCACCACCCAUAUAACGGUACUAUUAAAAACUAUUAAAAGUGCGAUAAAUCAGUAACUAAAUACGCCAGAGACUUUAAACUUUACACACGAGUUGGUAUGAGGAGGCUUUUAAGGAUGUUAAGUGAAGUGACAUAUCUCGCUCAACCGAUUUCAAUAAAAUUCGGUAUGUGGCAUUCCACCAAUAUUUUUAGGUUACAGUGCAAUAAUGGGCGGACUACGUUUACUUCCUUUAUAAUAGAGUAUCAAAUUCGUUAUGGCUACGGGAUCAAAACCCAAAAUGUAUCAAAAUGACUUACGGAUUAUUAAUGUAAAUUCAAUUCUGGAACUCAUUACUUACUCAUAACAACAUAUACGGAUUCAAAAAAAAAUCACAAAAAACAGGUGAUUUUUCUGACUUUCAACUGGUUAUAACCCCUUAUAAAAUUAAAAUUGCUGCGUUGGAGGUAUCGAGCGAGGGUUUAUUACUUUUGAUAUUUUUUUAAGUAUAUAUAAAAAUUUUUAAUUGAUCUAAAUUGUUAAUAUCGUCAUUCAUCUCAAAAAAUGUCAUGAGUGAGCUCACUUAGAAUCCGCGAUAUUUAGGCAACGCUUCUCUUGAAAUUACAGCAAAUUUUACAAUAAUUCAGAUCUCAUUUCACUAUCUUCGGGAUGAACAUAUACAAAAACUGGCUUCGAUUCGUCCAAACAUAGUUCAAUCGAACAAACGACUAGCAUAAAACGAUUUGCUAUUACUUUAGCUGCAUACACUUUUUUUCAUAAUACUAUUGUGGGCAUAAAAUAGUAAGACUUUUAAUUUAAAUUUCGCGCGAAAACCCAUUCGUCGUAAUAUUUUUUUCUAGGUUGGUAUGACUGUCAGUGAUAGCUAAGCCAAAUGUCACAUCAAAAUAAUUAUUAGUGUUUAGUAUACGCUUGUCUUUCUGAAGUACAUAAAGUGUAUUCGGCAAUUUUUACGAUGAGUGAAAUUAUUCAACAAAGAAGUUCCAUUAAAUUUUGUGUGCGAAAUCAAAUUUUCUGAUGCCGAAACGUUCGGAAGGUCGGAAAAGGUCUUCGGUGAUAAUUGUUUGUCGCGAGCAAGUCUUUUUGUUUGGUAGAAAUUUUUCAAAGAAGGUUGAGAACGCGUUUACGACGAACCGACGAAUCGAGGACGGGCAUCAAGAGCAACUGAUGAUCAACAUGUCAAUAAAAUAAACGAAUAGAUGCUUGAGAAACGAAUCAGAGUUCUUACUGGCAUCGUUGGAAUAUCGGAAGGGUUAGUGAAACCCAUUUUGAAAGACCAUUUGGGCCUAAGAAAAGUGAAAGUACGAUUGAUUCCAAAAUCAAACAGUUUUUUCGAGAAACAGCGUCGCGUUAACGUCUAUGAAACAAAUCUUUCCGACUACCAGAAUGCCAUGAAACAUAUUAUUCCAGGUGAUGAGCCUUGGAUCUAUGUUUAAGAACCGGAAACAGACAAUCAUUCGGCCGAAUAUCGCGGCAAAGGUGAGCCAAAGCCGAAAAAACCACGUUAAAGCAGGUCAAAAUUCAACGGUGUGGGUACAGUUUUCUUCGGUAAUCGAGGUGUAGUGCAAUUCGAAUUCCUUCGACCGGCCAAACUGUCAACAAAGAAUACAGUUACGCGUCUUUUGCGCGAAGCUAUUCGUAAAAAGAGGCUGGAGUUACGGGCCGACAACUCUUGGUUUUUGCAUCAUGAUUAUGCACCUUCGCAUACUGCAGUGUGUCUUCGUGAGAUUUUCGCCAACUGUUCGACUGUUUUAGCUCCAUGUGACUUUAGGUUAUUCAGCAAACUCAAACGAUCGCUACGGGGAAACCGUUUUGAGUCAACUGAAGACAUUAACCGUGAAUAGCUAUAGUAUGCGCAUUAAAGGAUAUUCCAGAAAUUUACCUUAACAACUUUUUCGAGGAUUGAACCAAAUUGAACCAAGAUUGUAUUGUGACCAAGGCGGAUUACUUUGAGGGGUACGACAAAGAUUUUGAAGAAUAAAUUAUGAAUUUUAAAAUUAUGAACAAAGUCUUACUAUUUUUUGCUCAUAGUAUGUAGUAUAUGGUAAGAACUAAAAAAACUUGUUAAUCUUUAACUUGUCUAGCCGUUCGUGGAGUGUCAAAUGUCUACCUAUGUUUCCUCGUGUAUAUUAGAAGUUCGCUUCAGAGGCACACUCAGCUAAAAUCUAGAUCUGCUCUCUAGAAAACAUACAAAUAUUUUUUCAUAUACCUGAAACUGUGCCGCUUAAUAUACUCUUCCUUUAUUUAAUUAGAAUAGUGAAAUUGUAAUUGUUAAUAUUUUCAGUGUUUUUGUUGAUCUUAUUUAUAAUAUUGUUUUUGUAAUUGUUACUAUUGUUGUCAUGAUUCUUUUAACUAUUAUUAUUACUGUUCAUCAACAUCAUUAAACGAGUUUGUAGUGUUUUAUUCAAACAAAUUUUUAACACAAUGCAUCUAGAUAUUAUCAAUUGAUAUCUAUAUUUUCUUCUUCGCGAGAAUUGAAACUCAUACAUAUGUAUGUACACUAGACAAUAAAAAUGAAGGCAACAAAUUGUAAUACAUUUCUUUUUGACAAUAAAACGUACUAAUAGCUGUAAUUGUAACAUAACUAAUUUAAAUUAAGUAAAAGAUAUUUGAAUUGCAAAUAAAUAAAUUUAGCAUAAGCAAAUGGACUUAAAUAAGUAGUAGAAAUAUAGGUUAGGUUAAUAAAUGCCCUAGCAGUACGAAGCACAACUAUUUUAAAAUAAGUGUUAGCCGUAAGUAAUAGUAAAUAAUAUGUGUAGGCAUAUGAGAGACAAUACAAAAAUUACUUACAAACAUAUGUAGGUAUGUGGUCAACCAUUUUUAAUGAAAUAAAGCAAGUUACAUAAAUACAGAAAAUAAAUUGAGCGCAGCAAAUAGUUUGAAAUAGUUUCAAAUAUACAUUUAGUACCUGUACAUAUUUGUUUUUGCAGCGCCAUAACUGAAAUAAUUUAUUUUUGUAAUAAACUUAUAAGCCGCUUAUAAAUAGUCCUAAUAAUUACACAUUUUUAAAAUGCUAUUUAGGGUGCUUUUGAAGAAAAAAAUGUUUACUGGAAUGUAUUUUUAAAAUUUAGACUUUUUCCAGAUUUUUUGAAACAAUUCAUUUUAUUUCCUAAGUUUAUUACAUGCAACUAUUGAACUAUUAUAAACAAACGAUAAAAAUGUUUUAGAACAAAAUUGUAAAGAUAUUCUCAUACAAAGUUUUUAGCACCUAAAAACCAUAAACACCUAAAUCUAACUAUUUUAAUUUUCUAAUUAUGUUUUGUUCAUUGAUAUCCACGCUUUUUUCUGUGCAGCAGCUCAGCUAUGUAUGUAUAUUCCUAUUUACUCUUUUUUUCUUCUUCUUAGUUACUAUGCUUGAUGAGCAUAAAGUGGCCGCAAAAUGUCACCAUUUAUUAAAAUUUUUCGAUAACGUCAUUUCGUUGUAAGUUUUCCUCAUUCACUCAAGUUAUUUUGCAAGCCUGCGUUCUCUGGUGUGCUUAGGCCUCCAGCGUUCCUGCUGCCUUGUGGGUUCCACGCUAGUGUUUUUCUGAAGCUCUCAUCUGGCUGCAAGCUCAAUCAUAUCUGAUUUACGCCUGCAUAUAUUCUUUUCAUUUGCAAAGCUUGAAAUUGUGAUUUAUUUAUGCCUUAUUUUGGUUUUAUACUUCUUAUGUUCUAACUGAAGCUUCGAAGCGUAAUUUCACGGUAGAUAGUUUUUAUAAGGUUAUCCAUUUUAAGGUUCCCUACUUUUUCAAAAAAAAAAAACAAAAAAAAAACACAGAAACUUCAAAUUUAAUGUGAAAUAUUUAUUAUCAAUCGAAAGAACACUCUUUGGCAUUUAUUGUUUGAAGAUUACCGCUUUCAAAUGUUGGCCGCGGCUACGUCUCAGAUUGUCCAUCUGUUGAGUCCAAUUUUCGAUGACUCGUUCGAGCAUUUCGACUGGUAGCUGGCGAAUGACACGCGUGAUGUUUCGCUCCGAGCCCAGAAUCGAAGAGAGGUUGUCCGCAUAGACCUUAGACAUUCCCAUAUACAUGUCCCCACAGGAAAAGCUUAACGCUGUGGCCAAUCGAUCGACCCAAAAAUGUAACUUCGUUGUGUAUCAAAAUAUUUCAUGGUCAAUAGUUUUUUCUAACAUUUAACGCUCAAGAAUCAAUGAGACUUAAAACUGAACUACAUAUAUUUAAAGUUGCUGAAGCGAUAAUACGUUCACCAGCACGCUGGUUCAAGUUCUAAAAACCGGAAGAGAAUGCUCAUUGGAAAUAAAUGUUGCGACGGAAAAGAGCUAAGGUAAAGCAGAAACUGAGGCCUUUUCCAAAAUAUACUUGUAAGACAAAACGUACUACAAAUAUGAUACCGAAAAAGUCGGAGAGAUCAUUAUGAACGGUAUAUCGCCCUCGACAGCAACUAUUUGGAUUAAAUACCAUUAUUUUUUUUAAACGAAUCCAACUUUUCCGACCACCUGAUGUAUGUAUUUUGUGAAGUUCGUUAAUUUUUGUAUACUUUUCAUAUGAAGUUUUUAUUUUAAUUUUUUUUUUAUAGUUCUACAUAUUAUGUUUACACCAAGUGUAAAGUAACUUUAGGGCUUAUAUCCGCUUAAGAAAAUUAAAAAAUCGACUUGUUUUUGUGUAAGUAUCGAAUUCACAUACAUAGAUACAUACAUACUUUGGUCCGUUUGUUAAAAUAGAUGCGAGUAUUUACAGUUGGCUUGAGUUUUUCAACACGAUAACGACCCCAAGCACUGCUCACGAGUCGUUAAGUAGCCAAAAUACAUAUUAAGAUUCUGGAUUGGCUAGCUCAAAGUCCGGACCUAAACUCCAUAGAAAAAUCUCUGGGUGUUUAUAAAAAGAGCCGUAGCUGCACGAAAACCUCAUAACAAAUAUUCUUUAAGGAAAAUAGUACAGGCAGAGUGGAACAAAGUAAGUCCCACCCAAUGUGUUACUUUAGUCCAAACAAUGCUGAAGCGUUGCACUGAAGUGCUACGCAAUAAAAGAUAUCCAACUAAAUAUUAGUUUUUUAUUAAAGAAGAAUUUCAAAAAAUAAGUAAAUUUUUCUGCGAUGCCUUGUUUAUAUGACCAAAUAGUUGCUUGGAAGAAACUUUCAUACUAUAAGUGGCGUGACUUAAUUAUAUGAGCACAAGUGUACAGGCAUAUGGUAUUUGAAAAUAUGCUCCGAAAAUUUGAAGUCGAUCCUGCAAUACGCAUGAAAAUUUCACACGAUCCGCUUAGAUGUACAGUUUGUUCAAAAAUAUAUAAUAUGAUAAAAAACAGUUUUUGGGAAACCGCCAUUCCGUCAAAAAUCAUAAUUUUGAGCAGUCCUUCGAACAUUAGGUGCAUUCUUCUUUUGUAAUGAUCAUCUUUUUGGUUCAGGAACUUUAGUUAAUUUUAACUAUAGAGAAAUCUUGUUGUCGUUGCAACACCAGAAAACAUUUCUGGAGUAAUUUCGAGGCAUGUGAGUUCCUUAAUACAAAAAAAAAAACAUACGAGUUGCAGGAAUAUAAAAUGUUUUUUUUUUGAACUUUCUUUUCUUACUUCUUUUUAUUUAUUAUUAUUUUGGUUAAAUGGUUAUACACUGCUGGUCAUUAGGUUAGACGCACGUUUACUUGCAUUACAAUUGUUUAAAUAUUUAUUAUUUUAAUGGUGAAUGACAAAAAAGUUGGUAUGCAAAAACAUGGGUACUUCAUGACACUUUCAAUGUAAUAUUCAAAUGAUUAUUCAAACUUAACAAAAUUGUGUGUUUCAAACAUUUUCUUAAAGCUACUUAAAAAACGGUGCCUUUUUCUUGGUCAUUAGAAUAGACGCACUUAGGAUAUUAAAUUUUUUAUAAGAAAAGUUUUUUUUUUUACUUAAAUUUUUAGUUCGUGUUAAUAUUUGAUUUAUUAGAAAUAAAAAAAUAAUUUCAGUAAUGAGUACUUCCUCCUUUGUUAGUAAUAACUUCAAAUGUCUGGUCCUUCAUAGAAUGAUACAGGGAAUCUAUGUAGGUCAAGGAAAUCUCGCUCCAAGCACGUUUUAUAGCUGCAGUUAAUGCUUCCUUACCUUCGUAUUGCUUUCCUUUUUCGUAUACCUUCCGUGUUAGCCAGCCCCAAACAUUUUCAAUUACUUUAGGAUCUGAAGAAUUUGGUGGCCAGGUCAUGACAUUAACGUUUUGACUCGAAAUAAACGACUUUACUACUCGAGCGUUAUGAAUAGGAGCACAGUCUUGUUGAAAAAUCCAAGGAAUUGGGCCAAAGAGAUCGCUUAAUUUUGGCAAUACGGACUCCAACGAUGUUUUGAAGCGAUCGCCGUUCAUCUUCUGAUUGCUAAAAAUCAAGUCAGUUGUUCCAUAAAACGUGAUGGCACCCACACCAUGACUCCACCUGCUCGGCUGUGGUGACAUCUUAAAUAUAUGUAGGACAUCUUUCCACAAAUCGUGAUAAUAGUAUCGAAAGCCAUCAGGGCCAUCUAAAUUAAAACGUUUUUCCUCAGUAAAUACAACUGAACGCCAAUCAUUAAGUCAAGUGCCAGAUUGAACAGUCCAUGUCAUGUAUUCUUUCGCGAAUCGAAGACGUUUUUCUUUGCGUAGUUCAUUUAGGGGGCGAGGUUUUUCUUGAUUUUUAAACGCUUUAGGUAUUCUGCAUUUCUGAUUGUAUGCUGAGCAGUUGAAAGGCUUGCUUUUACUUUGGCUAUUUCCGUGUUUUUCAUAUGCCUCUGGAUCCUUUAAAUAUAUAUCAACGGUUCUGGAGGUACGUUUUAUCUAUUCGGCAAUAUUUCGAUUGGAUAGUCCUUAGGAGUAAAAAAAAGUGUACUUUUUCACGUUCCAAUAAGCUCAGGAUACCAGCUUUUCCCAUUUUUCCUUUAAAUGUAGCUCGAAAACAAUUUAUUUGCUUAUUUUUAGUACUUUCUCAAUAGAAAAAACUGCAGGUCUUUACGCAAGACGAUGAAAUGUUAUGUGCGUCUAUUUCAAUGACCAACCGAAAACGCACGUGAUUGCCAUAGACAUUUCUGGAAUCUUCGAAUGUACAGUUGUUUUUGCGCAAAUCAACCAACUAUGAGCAAAUAUAUUUCGGACAAGAUUCGAACUUUGAAAAGAAAAGCAUUUUGGACAAUAAGAACAAGCAUGAUUAUAAAUAUAACAAUUUAUUAAAAAAAAAAAACGUUGAUGCGUUUAACCUAAGACCAGCAGUGUAUAUUGGUUGUAUCGCACAGUGGAAGCUGAAAAUUCCAUGCCACAUACUACAUACAUAUGUAUAUGUAAUAUGUUUUAAUGAAUCGUAAGCAACAAAUAAACUCAAUUUCUAUCUUUUUGUGAUACGUUGUUUUGCAUUUCAGUUGAUGAUAUACAUACAAGUACAUACUUUUUAAAGAAUAUUUAAAAAAAAUUGAUUUUCAUAAAAACCAUAGCUUAUUUAGAUACUACGCCUACAAUAGAAACGCACAAAUUUGUAAUGACACGCCAUUACAAUGAGCAAGAAGCUACAAAAAUAAAGUUUAAAACAAGAAAAGUUUAAAAAAUUAGAAGAAAAUAGUAAAAUAAAGCAUAAAUAGUGGAAGAAGACGCACACAACGAGCAAAUCUAACUGCAAUUACAAACACAUAGACAUAUGUACAUAUAUUUAACACACAUACAAAUCCCUAUACAUAUAUGUACAUACAUACAUGUAUAUAUAUGCAUACACCUACAAAUAUACAUAUGUAUAUACCUACAUUUACACUUGUUGUUGAGAAUAUGCCAACGAUCCGACACUUUCCGUUUUGUAAAAUAGAAAAAUUACUCAAUUGGGUAAUCCAACACACACAUACAUACAUAUAUGCAUAGAAACACAGCAAAUAUACAUACAUAUGUAAAUAUAUAUAUGCAUAUGUUUGUGCUACUUAGCAUUAAAUUGUAGUUGUAAGUAAAUGAUGAUGAUAUUUCCAUAUGUUUAGAAGGAUUUUUAGAUAGCUCUAUUGUUCUCAUUAAAACUCACACACUGUGAAUAUUUGCUAACUAAUUAAAUUCAAUGAAAAAAAUCGCUACAAAUAUGCAUACAUACAUACAUACAUAGGUACAUACAUUUAUUAAGCACUAAAACACGAACUCCAAUUACCUAAAAUAGUUAAAGCAAGGCGAUUAUGAAACUAUUGUAACUUCAUUCUGAAAAAACAAAAAUCGAAUUACAAAAAAAAAAAAAAAAAUAAAAAUAAAAAAAUCAAAUUAAAUAAAUUUAUGUAAAUUGCAUGAACUUUUUCACUCUUCUAAUAAAAUAUUAACUACAUACAUAUUUACAUACUUACAUACAUACAUACAUACAUAUGUACAUGCAUACACACAUACAUACAUGUGCACAUGCAUACAAAACUGAGUAAUCAUAAAGUAAAAACAUAAAAAUAAAUUAACGACACAAACACACACACAACACAUAUUUUGCGCAAAGAAUUACAAUACAAAUUGCAGGCAUUGCAAUUAAAAAACAAAAGCUAAAAUUUCAUAAAAAAUUUAGGAUUUGUAAAGACUAGCUUAGUGCAGCGCAGUAAAAAAUAAAUAAAUUUUAGCGAAAUGAAAGUGCGAAUUUUUGAAAUUCAAACACUAAAGUGACAACUGUAAUUAAAAAAAAAAUACAAAACUUAAAAAAUAAUAACAACAACAAAAAUUCAAACACAUUUGGUAAUAGAUUGGCAAUGCGUGCAGUUAGCCGGCAGCAUUUUGUGGCAAAAGAAAUAAAAUUGUUUAAAAAUACACACACACAUAUCUGCAUACAUAUGUAUUGUAUACACACACAUACAACGGUACUUUGAGUACAAAAAAAAACUUUGUCAUUUAAAGCAUUUUAAAAUUUAUAGACAAUAAAAGGUAAGCAUACAAAUUCAUAGUACACACACACACACACACAGACACACUCACAUGUAGACACACACAAACUUGCAUACAAUAAAAUUGCUGUCAAAAAAGUGACAAUAAAAAAAAAUUGACAAUAAAAAAAAUAAAAAAAAUUUACAAUAAAUAAAAAUAUACAAUAAAAAAUAGACAACAAAAAAAAAUGACAACAAAAAAAAUUGACAAUAAAAAAAAUUGACAAUAUUGCCAAUAUUAAAAAAAAUUGACAAUAAAAAAUGUUGACAAUAAAAAAUGUUGACAAUAAAAAAUGUUGACAAUAAAAAAAGUUGACAAAAAUAAAAAUUGACAAUAAAAAAUGUACGAAAAUCUUUGGCACCCAAAAUUUGCUGUUUAAGUGCGAGAAUUCAAAAAGCAAUUAAUUGUAUUCAAAAUUUACUGGCGUAAACAGAUUAUACAUUUCUAAAAUAAGCAAAAUGAAACACUAAAAUUACUUUCGAACAAUUGCAAGUGUAUGCAAAUAGUAAGGAAGUGAAGAAGUACAUGUUGAGAAAAAUUUAAAUUUAACUACUAACAAUAACAAUAACAAUAAAAUGGUUAUAAACACAUUACAUCUGUCUUAUAUUGAAUGUAAUACGAAAAUUAUUGAACAAUAAUAAAUGAAUAAUAAAAUAAAUUGUUUUCACCUUA
Molecule: long non-coding RNA, 11891 nt
Organism: Bactrocera neohumeralis
Lineage: Eukaryota; Metazoa; Arthropoda; Insecta; Diptera; Tephritidae
Exons: 2
Source: RefSeq, a predicted model, not a curated record